AGAUAAAUCUCAAAACCCAAACAUACGGGCAGUCAUCAACAAAACAAUAAUCCAAAGGAAAUAUAAACAACCUAAUCUAGACCGACACGACAAGCCUAGAUCAGAGCCGACACGACCCGAUAUUGGAGAAAGCUCCCGAUAUCCCACGCAAAGACUCACCGAGCACUACUCCUGCACAACGUCUACUCACCCAUACAGGCAAGUAGGCGGUUAAAACCACUGGGGGUAAGUAUUACAUUAUCAUAACCAAAUAAUAAUCAAAUCGAAUAAUAUCAUGUACUUGAAUAAUAUUAGUCAUGCAUAAAUACUUACAUCACAACUCGUUAUCUCAUAUCAACAUACAUCAAUCACAUGAAUAAUUACCCAAUCAUAAAUAUUCAUUCACAACACCAAUCAUUUAACAAUCAUUAUCGACAUGCAUUCAUCUCAUUUCAUCACCAAUCACAUAUUUCACAUAGGACUCAUACUAUGAUAUGCACUUAUGGACACAUAAAUGCAUGUGGUACCAAAUCUCAACAAGGUCGUCACCUCCGAUGGACAAGUCAACAUCGCAUGUAAGGCUCACCUCUGCCUUACAAUAAUCUCGAAGUAAAAGAGUCAUCCCUUUUACAGCAACAACGACUAUGAUGCAUGGACAUGUGUAAGGACUCGAUAAUGCGACAACAAUUCACAAUCUCAACUCAGUAUAUAGGACAACACCCAAUUAUAUUGAUCAUCUCCACAACAUUGCAUUAUCAAGGAAACAUGUCUACACACAGUUACAUCAUAGCAUUCAUCAUCACACAUCAACACGAUUAUCAAUAAUCAACAAUGUCAUUCAACAUCAACUAUAUCAUAUAGUUUCACCAUUCCAAACAAUUCUCAUAUUCCAAGUAAGAGAACAUACAACAUCUCAUCACAAAUAUCAUAUUCAACAUUCAACUACAAUCAAAUACUUCCAUAUAAUCAUACGAAACUAAUUAUGAAAGAUUUAUAAGAUGAUUGGCUUAAAAGGAUAUUUUCAUCAAUGUUCGUCUCUCUUUAACAUCUUACAAGAAUCUUCCAUUUUCAAAACCAAAACCAAAUAAAACUCAAGGAAACCAAUCUCAAUCAUUUUCAUUUAUCAUAUAAUCACUACACUACUUUAAUCCCAUUCCAUUUCCUUGAAUUUCAAAUUUCGGAAAAAUCAACGUUCUUGACAAUUUUCAAAGUGGAAAUUCAAUUACAUAAACCAAGUCCAAUUCUUGUUCAAGGAAGUGUUCCAGUAGGAUUAAUUGUACAAACAGUGAUUAUAUAAGUUAAAAGAACUGUUUUAAGAAGUUCGGAUUGGCCCUCGGAAGCUCGGAACAAAGUUUCAAAAGUGCUGGAAAAAGUUCUGCACGCUUAAGCAUCCACCAGCUCGCUUAAGCGUCCAACUUCCAGUAGCUACUGUGACUGCACGCUUACCAGCUCGCUUACAGCACGCUUAAGCGUGCAUUCAUCAGACAGCAACUAGCGUCACUUGCAGAGUCGCUUAAGCGACCAUUCAAAAUUCUGCAUAACAAAAGUUACGGGUUUCACCCAUUUUUCACCCAAAACUCCCAAUUUUGAUCUCCCAAUGCCCAAAUAUGUUUCCAAAUAAUGUUUAUAGGUCAUAUAACUCACAAGGAUACUCAAAAACACGUUGAACAUGAAAAUCAAACUCAUUUUUAGCCAAUUCACCAAAUUAUCUAUUCACACCAAAACACCAACAACAAUUCAAAAUUUUCAUCAUCAAUCCAUGAAUAUGCAUACCCAAUCAGUGAUUCAUCAACAACAACAUCAAAUAACAACAAUAACAUCAAUUGAGCAAGAAUCAAAUCUCAACAUAACAAUAACUUAGCAAAAUUCACCAAUUGAGCACAAUUUUCACAACUUAUCAUUUUUACAUAUUUGAACAUGUAACUUCACCAACAAUCAUACAAUUAUCAUCAAUUUAUGCAUACAAACAUAUCAUCAUAGUUGGAGCACGAAUUUAGCAACAAUCAUCCAUAAUCAAAAUUCAUACAACAUUUGAAAAUUUACAAAAUGAUGAUGAUUAUGAUAAAGACUAACCCCCUUACCUUAAUUAUCUCCAACUAUUAGCUCUAGCUUCACUUUAGCUCCUAUGAUUCUCCAAACCCUUGAAUUCUUCAAGCUCCUCCUCUCUCUAACCCUUGUUUCUCUCUUCUCCCACUUUCUCUCUCUACCUCUUCUUAGGAAAUGUUUU
This 2206-nucleotide long non-coding RNA is filed under the name Medicago truncatula (barrel medic). RNAcentral's name for it is "long non-coding RNA (MTRU_LNC007513)". The record is from RNAcentral. Lineage: Eukaryota; Viridiplantae; Streptophyta; Magnoliopsida; Fabales; Fabaceae.